Molecule: ribosomal RNA, 1382 nt
Filed under: Vibrio parahaemolyticus
Lineage: Bacteria; Pseudomonadati; Pseudomonadota; Gammaproteobacteria; Vibrionales; Vibrionaceae
Description: partial 23S ribosomal RNA
Rfam family: Bacterial large subunit ribosomal RNA
Source: RNAcentral
GUGAAGUCAUUGAUGCCAUGCUUCCAGGAAAAGCCUCUAAGCUUCAGAUUGUAAGGAAUCGUACCCCAAACCGACACAGGUGGUCGGGUAGAGAAUACCAAGGCGCUUGAGAGAACUCGGGUGAAGGAACUAGGCAAAAUGGUACCGUAACUUCGGGAGAAGGUACGCUCUCGACGGUGAAGUCCCUCGCGGAUGGAGCUAUUGAGAGUCGCAGAUACCAGGUGGCUGCAACUGUUUAUUAAAAACACAGCACUGUGCAAAAUCGUAAGAUGACGUAUACGGUGUGACGCCUGCCCGGUGCCGGAAGGUUAAUUGAUGGGGUUAGACUUCGGUCGAAGCUCUUGAUCGAAGCCCCGGUAAACGGCGGCCGUAACUAUAACGGUCCUAAGGUAGCGAAAUUCCUUGUCGGGUAAGUUCCGACCUGCACGAAUGGCGUAAUGAUGGCCACGCUGUCUCCACCCGAGACUCAGUGAAAUUGAAAUCGCUGUGAAGAUGCAGUGUACCCGCGGCUAGACGGAAAGACCCCGUGAACCUUUACUACAGCUUGGCACUGAACAUUGACCCUACAUGUGUAGGAUAGGUGGGAGGCUUUGAAGCACGUACGCCAGUAUGUGUGGAGCCGUCCUUGAAAUACCACCCUUGUAGUGUUGAUGUUCUAACGUCGACCCCUAAUCGGGGUUGCGGACAGUGCCUGGUGGGUAGUUUGACUGGGGCGGUCUCCUCCCAAAGAGUAACGGAGGAGCACGAAGGUGGGCUAAUCACGGUUGGACAUCGUGAGGUUAGUGCAAUGGCAUAAGCCCGCUUGACUGCGAGAAUGACAAUUCGAGCAGGUGCGAAAGCAGGUCAUAGUGAUCCGGUGGUUCUGAAUGGAAGGGCCAUCGCUCAACGGAUAAAAGGUACUCCGGGGAUAACAGGCUGAUACCGCCCAAGAGUUCAUAUCGACGGCGGUGUUUGGCACCUCGAUGUCGGCUCAUCACAUCCUGGGGCUGAAGUCGGUCCCAAGGGUAUGGCUGUUCGCCAUUUAAAGUGGUACGCGAGCUGGGUUUAGAACGUCGUGAGACAGUUCGGUCCCUAUCUGCCGUGGGCGUUGGAAGAUUGAAGGGGGCUGCUCCUAGUACGAGAGGACCGGAGUGGACGAACCUCUGGUGUUCGGGUUGUGUCGCCAGACGCAUUGCCCGGUAGCUAAGUUCGGAAUCGAUAACCGCUGAAAGCAUCUAAGCGGGAAGCGAGCCCUGAGAUGAGUCUUCCCUGAUACUUUAAGUAUCCUAAAGGGUUGUCGGAGACUACGACGUUGAUAGGUCAGGUGUGUAAGUGCUGUGAGGCAUUGAGCUAACUGAUACUAAUUGCCCGUGAGGCUUAACCAUACAACACCCAAGGGGUUU